RNAcentral lists this transfer RNA (72 nucleotides) under Lepomis cyanellus (green sunfish). RNAcentral describes it as "tRNA-Thr". It matches the Rfam family "tRNA". From Rfam's summary of the family: Transfer RNA (tRNA) molecules are approximately 80 nucleotides in length. Lineage: Eukaryota; Metazoa; Chordata; Actinopteri; Centrarchiformes; Centrarchidae. RNAcentral also lists the same sequence under 1 other name. The record is from RNAcentral.
GCAUUAGUAGCUCAGCGUUAGAGCACCAGUCUUGUAAACUGGACGCCGAGGGUUAAAAUCCCUCCUACUGCU